AGUGAAAGUUGUGGAGGGACGACGGGAGAGAUGAGAAUGGUGAAGCAUUUGUUGGAGUCUUCCCCGUGUUUGAAGGAGAUGAAGAUAUUUGCCCUCAAGGAUUAUCAUACAGAUAUCUUUGAUCUUGUUGUGAAGAUGGUGAAUCUCUGCAACGAGAGUUACCGAGUUGUGGUGUUCAACUUCUUGUGUGUGAUUCAUCGUAUAAAAUGAACCAGAUUCGUAGUUUGAAAUAAUAUUCUAGGAAUAGUCUAAAGAGUCAACUGCUUGUUUUGGUAUCUAAACCUCAAAUAAUAUUUAGUUUAAUGCUAGCUAAUACGGACCAAAACAGGUUCCUUUAGAAUACAUCUCAAUUUUGAGAAGAUUCAUAUAUACAACAAUGACUCAGAUUUAGAGGUCCAGCGAUCUUUUCUUUAAACUGAUACAUUAUUUUUUUAUGUUUCAUGUUCAUAGAAGCGAGGUAAUGUGGACUAUUGGGAGAUUAACUCCAGAUGUCCCUUUGACUCACGAAAAAUGCUUAAAUCUUCCAUCAAUAAAAUAUAAUUUUUUAUUUAUUUAUUUUAAAAUACAAAAAUAGGCUAAAUACAUCUAUAACCCAAACAAAAUCACAUAAUUACAUGACCUGUUCACACAAACCCAGCCCACCCAAACAUGAACCCACCCAAACACAUACAGGUAUAACCUUUUUCCUAAACCUAAACUCUGCGUUUGGACAAAAAGAAAACAGCAAAAAAAAUUGUCCUGUCUUUCCCUUCUCUCCUCUCUUUAUCCUCGUGUUCUUUCUGAUUUCCAGAAACGGCUACAAAAUCGACAAACUCAUCGUUUUUUCUUCUUAUUCUUCUUCUUCUUCUGUUCUAAUCAAGACUUCAUCUUCUGAAUCGACAUCCUUCAUCCUGGUAAGUGAUUUCUUGACCUUGACUUUCUUGUAUUUUGUAUUUAGGUCAGAUAAAAACUGGGGAAAACUUGUAAAUUGUAGACAAAAAAUUUAGUAAGAUCUUAGUAAGCGAGAUUGUGGUUUGAAAUUUGGGAAAACAUCUUGAAACUGUAAAAUUGGUAUAAAUUGGAACAAAAACCAAGAGCUCGCGAUUUUUAUGGGUUCUUUCUUACUGGAUCCAAUUGGUUUUCCUGGUUUAUUGUUUGUGAUAUGAAACCGAAAUCUCUUUGACUGUUAGGAUAAAUGUAAACUGAAAUGGAGUAGGUGAUUUAUUGAGUGAAUGAAAGGUUUGAGAUAAGGCAAAGUAAUAAUUCUAGAUUAUGUCUAAAUGUGUGUUGUUGUGUUGUUUUUGGAUGUUCAGAGGAAGUAGAUAAUGGCAGGUAACCGUGGAGGAAAAAAAAAAGACUGCAAAGAAAAGUGGAAAAUCCACAACAACUCAUGUUGCUGAAGAGCAUGUGGAAGAGCUAUCAGACGGAAAUAAUAGUGAUGAUCUAUGUGAACCCCCCUCUAAGGUAUAAUAUUCUUUUGGUUUUAGUUGAAUAAAGUGUCACUGGUUGUGUGUGUAUUGGUUUUAUUUUAAUUAAGUGCUACUGUUGUGUAUUAGUUUUGAAUUGAAGUUUUAUUGAUGUUGGUAGGAGUAAUUGAGUUGUUGUGAUUAACAUCUUGUACAGGGAAUGAAGGGCCUAAAAAGAAAGUGUCCAUCUACUGGAGGUGGAGUCUUCAGUAGAACUAGAGCUAGAAAGGCGGUAUCAAAUGGGAAUGAGCCGGUUAGAGAAGAGAGCAAUCCAGUGAGAGGAACGACUGUAGUUUCGCUCUCACUUGAUACCGAAACUGAAGGCAUGUCUGAUGUUUCCUCCAAGGAAAUGCAACCACCACAGCCCCUUGAAAUGUACUUCAAGAACACCAGUACCUGAAGACUUGCAAGAUUCAAACCAAGUGCCGUGUGAAGAAGACAGUUGAUGUGAUUAAGGAACUUAAGGAGGAGGUCGGCUGGUUCACAAGCCAUUCUCAGUUUUGUCAUUUCUUCUACAUGCCUGAUGAAGAAUUCCUGAAGCUCCAAGGAAUGUGGAUGUUACUGCUGCGCACCAUUCGUAUUGAAGGAGAAGAUGCUGCAUGGUUUGCGGUGAAUGGUGUGUCCAUCCGCUACUCUAUGAGGAGCAUGACCUCAUCUCUGGCUUGGACUGCCAUGAGUAUCCGAGUGGACAUUUGAAGCUCGGGAGUACUAAAAUUGUGGAUUAUUACUUCGGUAAUAAGAAGAAGAUCACCAUAGAAGAUGUGAAGCAGAAGCUGCAAUCUACGGGGACGGCAUGUAAUGAUAGAUUGAAGAUGGCUGUCCUGUUCUUCCUUGGUCGGGUUAACAGAGGAAAGACGAAGGAUUCUGCAGCAUUAGACCCGUUCAUCUUAAGGAUAGUGGACGAUUUGGAUGUUUGCAGAAAAUUUCCUUGGGGUCGUCUAACAUUUAAGGAUGCAAUAACGUAGAUUAAGCAUGUAAUGGAGCUUCUGAAGGGUGAAGUGCACUAUGUAACCGACUUUAAUGGAUUCAUAAUUCCAUUAGAGGUAAAGCAUACAAUUUAGCAUGAAGUGAAAUUUUUGUUAUUUAUAACCGAAAAUCUGACACUGUGACACUUCAUUUGUGUAGGUUUUGGCUUUUGAGUGUAUUCCUAAGCUGGAAAAAAAAUUUUGAAUCUCUUCAGACGGCGCCAGUGGAGAUUGUCCUAGGAUGUGCAAGAGUCGGUUUACAAAGAGUAGCAUGAAAGGUUAUUCUUUGGAAGAUACAUAUGCUGCGGUUGGAAAAACAAAGGUAUAUCUUUAUUUUAUUUAGUAGAAAAUAGCAGAAUAUUUAAACUGAUAUUUCUGAAUGUUUUAUUUUCAGGUUAUUAAUAGUGUGUUGAUUCCAACGGUGGAUGAGGAAACUUUGCUGGCUCGUAUCAUUGAUCUGGAGCCAGAGUAUCAUCGUGAGGGUAGCACACUGGCUAAAUGUGAAGCAGAAGAAGAUUUGGUGGAAAUAAUUUUAUGAGUCAGAUGUUGCUACACGAAAGUUUACAAAGACGGAAGACAAAGAAAAGGUGACGAUUGUAGAAGGUUCAUCUUCUAAUUCUUGUUUGGAAUCGAUGUUGAAAGGUGUGGAAAACAGGAUUGUGAAGGCUAUGGAAGAAGGAUUUUCUGGAAUUAAUUUAACGGUAGAGACAAAGCUGGAAGCUAUGAACUGGACUAUGGGUAAACUUGAGAAGAACCAGCGAGUUUUGAAGAAAAAUGCCAAGAAAAUAGAAGACAGGUUGACUUCUAUUGAAAGCAAGGGAAAUGAGGAUGAGAAAUAUAGACAGUGGAAUGAUUUUGAUUAUGGUAGAGAUCAUGGGAAGGAUAGAGAGAUGGCUGAGGCAGAGAAGGAUAAAGAGAAGGCUGAGACAAGGAAGAAAAACAGUGAGAAAGACGAGGAAAACAGUGGGAAAGAUGAGGAAGACGUGGAAAACAGUGAAAAGAGUAAGAAAGACGAGGAAAACAAUGAGAAGGGUGAAGAAGAGGAAGAGCAAGAACAUGAAAAAGACAAAGAAAACAGUAACUCUGUUGAAAAAGACAAAAACACGUGGAAGAAUCAUAUGAAGAAGAUUCUCUGUUAAGGCUUCAUGAAAGAGUGAGUGUACAAGCAGAAGAAUUCUGGAGGACAAUUGAUGAUGAGUCUGACGAUGAGAAAGAGGCUGAGAAAGAGGUUGAGAAAGAGGCUGAGGAAGAGGGUGAGAAAGAUGGUGAGAAAGAGGUUCGAGAAGAGAAAGAGGCUGAGAAAGAUGGUGAGAAAGAGGCUGAGAAAGAAGAGAAAGAAGAGAAAGAGGCUGAGAAAGAAGAAUCUAAGGGAACUCCUACCUCUACCGGGUUAGUAAUCAUUACACCACAUGGUAGAACUAAAGUAGCAGCUGCGAGGAAAGUAAACACUACACCACCAGAGAUUGUUGUGGUAAUAGAGGAAAAAACCACUGAACAAGAAGCCAUGGUAACUGAGCAAGAAGCUAUUCAGACUGAGAUUGUUGAGCUAGCUGAGUAAGAGGCUGAGAUAGAAGCUAUUCAGACAGAGCAAGAAGUUAUUCAGACUGGGAUUGUUGAGAAAGAGGCUGAGAUUACUGAGAAAGAUGCUGAGGUAGCUGAGAAAGAGGAUCAAGAUGUGGAUGAAGAGGAGGAAAAACUUCUUUCCUCUGCUUUUUCCUCCUCUUCAUCCACAUCUUGAUCCUCUUUCUCAGCUACCUCAACAUCUUUCUCAGUAACCUCAGCCUCUUUCUCAACAAUCUCAGUCUGAAUAACUUCUUGCUCUGUAUGAAUAACUUCUACCUUAGCCUCUUUCUCAGCUAGCUCAACAAUCUCAAUCUGAAUAGCUUCUUGCUCAGUUACCAUGGCUUCUUGUUCACUGGUUUUUUCCUUUCUUAUAUAAUUACCACAACAAUCUCUGGUGGUGUAGUGUUUACUUUCCUCGCAUCUGCUUCCUUAGUUCUACCACAUGGUGUAAUGAUUACUACUCCGGUAGAGGUAGGAGUUCCCUUGAAUUCUUCUUUCUCAGCCUCUUUCUCUUCUUGAACUUCUUUCUCAGCCUCUUUCUCACCAUCUUUCUCAGCCUUUUUCUCAUCGUUAGACUCAUCAUCAGUUGUCCUCCAAAAUUCUUCCGCUUGUACUCUCACUCUUUCAUGAAGCCUUAACAGAGAAUCUUCUUCAUCUGAUUCCUCCACGUUUUUUUCGUCUUUCUCAACAGAGUCACUGUUUUCUUUGUCUUUUUAAGGUUCUUGCUCUUCCUCUUCUUCACCCUUCUCACUGUUUUCCUCGUCUUUCUCACUCUUUUCACUGUUUUCCUCGUCUUCCUCAUCUUUCCCAUUGUUUUCCUCGUCUUUCUCACCAUUCUCACUGUUUUUCUUCCCUGUUUCAGCCUUCUUUUUAUCCUUCUCUGCCUCAACCAUCUCUCUAUCCUUCCCAUGAUCUCUACCAUAAUCAAAAUCAUUCCACUGUCUAUAUUUCUCAUCCUCAUUUCUCUUGCUUUCAAUAGAAGUCAACAUGUCUUCUAUUUUCUUGGCUUUUUUCUUCAAAACUCGCUGGUUCUUCUCAAGUUUACCCAUAGUUCAGUUCAUAGCCUCCAGCUUUGUCUCUACCGUUAAAUUAAUUCCAGAAAAUUCUUCUUCCAUGGCCUCCACAAUCCUCUCUUCCACACCUUUCAACAUCGACUCCAAACCAGAAUUAGAAGAUGAACCUUCUACAAUCGUCACUGUUUCUUUUUCUUCUGUCUUUGUAAACUUUCGUGCAGCAACAUCUGACUCAUAAAGUUCUUUCCACCAAAUCUUCUUCUGCUUCACAUUUAGCCAGUAGUUCCACCUAUCACUUGUGCUACCCUCACGGUGAUACUCUGGCUCCAGAUCAAUGAUACGAGCCAGCAAAGUUUCCUCAUCCACCGUUGGAACCAACACACUGUUAAUAACCUGAAAAUAAAACAUUCAGAAAUAUCAGUUUAAAUAUUCUGCUAUUUUCUACUAAAUGAAAUAAAGAUAUACAUUUGUCUUUCCAACCGCAACAUAUGCAUCUUUCAAAGGAUAACCCUUCAUGCUACUCUUUGUAAACCGACUCGUGCACAUCCUAGGACAAUCUCCACUGGCGCCGUCUGAAGAUAUUCAAAUUUUUUUCUCCAGCUUAGGAAUACACUCAAAAGCCAAAACCUACACAAAUGAAGUGUCACAGUGUCAGAUUUUCAGUUAUAAAUAACAAAAAUUUCACUUCGUGCUAAAUUGUAUGCUUUACCUCUAAUGGAAUUAUGAAUCCAUUAAAUUCGGUUGCAUAGUGCACUUCACCCUUCAGAAGCUCCAUUACAUGCUUAAUCUCCUUUAUUGCAUCCUCAAAUGUUAGACGACCCCAAGAAAAUUUUCUGCAAACAUCCAAAUCGUCCAUUAUCCUUAAGAUGAACGAGUCUAAUGCUGCAGAAUCCUUCGUCUUUCCUCUGAUAACCCGACCAAGGAAGAACAGGACAGCCAUCUUCAAUCUAUCAUUACAUGCCGUCCCCAUAGAUUGCAGCUUCUGCUUCACAUCUUCUAUGGUGAUCUUCUUCUUAUUACCAAAGUAAUAAUCCACAAACUUAGUACCCCCGAGCUUCAAAUGUCCACUCGGAUACUCAUGGCUGUCCAAGCCAGAGAUGAGGGCAUGCUCCCUUAUAGAGUAGCGGAUGGGCACACUAUUCACCGCAAACCAUGCAGCAUCUUCUCCUUCAAUACGAAUGGUGCGCAGCAGUAACAUCCACAUUCCUUAGAGCUUCAGGAAUUCUUCACAGGCAUGUGGAAGAAAUGACAAAACUGAGGAUGACUUGUGAACCAGCCGACCUCCUCCUUAAGUUCCUUAAUCACAUCAACUGUCUUCUUCACACAGCACUUGGUCUGAAUCUUGCAAGUUUUCAGGUAUUGUGUGUUCUUGAAGUACAUUUCAAGGGGUUGUGGUGGUUGCCUUUCCUGCAAUCAAAAUAUAUAUGUAUUAGUCAUUUUUUACUAGUAAGAUUAAUAAAAUGAAUGAUUAAAAUGAAUGCAAAAAUUACCUUGGAGGAAACAACAGACAUGCCUUCAGUUUCGGUAUCAAGUGAGAGCGAAACUACAGUCGUUCCUCUCACUGGAUUACUCUCUUCUCUAACCGGCUCAUUCCCAUUUGAUACUGCCUCUCUAGCUCUAGUUCUACUGGAGACUCCACCUCCAAUAGAUGGACGCUUUCUUUUUAGGCCCUUCAUUCCCUGUACAAGAUGUUAAUCACAACAACUCAAUUACUCCUACCAACAUCAAUAAAGCUUCAAUUCAAAACUAAUACACAACAGUAGCACUUAAUUAAAAUAAAACCAAUACACACACAACCAGUGACACUUUAUUCAAUUAAAACCAAAAGAAUAUUAUACCUUAGAGGGGGGGGGGGGGUUCACACAGAUCAUCACUAUUGUUUCCGUCUGAUAGCUCUUCCACAUGCUCUUCCACAUCCAAAAACAACACAACAACACACAUUUAGGCAUAAUCUAGAAUUAUUACUUUGCCGUAUCUCAAACCUUUCAUUCACUCAAUAAAUCACCUACUCCAUUUCAGUUUACAUUUAUCCUAACAGUCAAAGAGAUUUUGGUUUCAUAUCACAACAAUAAACCAGGAAAACCAAUUGGAUCAUGUAAGAAAGAACCCAUAAAAAUCGCGAGCUCUUGUUUUUUUUUCCAAUUUUUACCAAUCCUACAGUUUCAAGAUGUUUUCCCAAAUUUCAAACCAAAAUCUCGCUUACUUAGAUCUUACUAAACUUUUCGUCUACAAUUUAUAAGUUUUUCCCAAUUUUUAUCUGACCUAAAUACAAAAUACAAGGAAAUCAAGGUCAAGAAAUCACUUACCAGGAUGAAGGAUGUCGAUUCAGAAGAUGAAGUCUUUAUUAGAACAGAAGAAGAAGAAGAAGAAGAAGAAGAAUAAGAAUAAGAAGAAGAAACGAUGAGUUUGUCGAUUUUGUAGCUGUUUCUGGAAAUCAGAUAGAACACGAGGAGAAAAAGAGGAGAGAAAGGAAAGACACAACAAUUUUUUUUCUGUCUCCUUUCUGUCCAAACGCAGAGUUUAGGUUUAGGAAAAGGGUUAUACCCGUAUGUGUUUGGGUGGGCCGGGUUCAUGUUUGGGUUGACCGGGUUCGUGUGGUCGGAUCAUGUAAUUAUGUGAUUUUGUUAGGGUUAUAGAUGUAUUUAGCCUAUUUUCGUAUUUCAAAAUAAAUAGAUAAAAAAACUAUAUUUUAUUGAUGGGAGAUUUGAGCAUUUUUCGUGAGUUAAAGGGGCAUCUAGAGUUAAUCUCCAAGUUAUGCAGAUUUUUUGAUUAAGUACACAUAUGCACACAGAGGCAGGAUUUCACUGUAAGCAAAUUUCUGGAUCAGUUAUGACCAAACGCAAAAUGAGCUGCACUAUGCCAUGCGUUAAGACAUUAUGUGAUAGGAUUCAUCAUCCUACCACACACUAAAAUUCAUAGAUAUGAAAAAGGAUGAAAUACUCACCAAG
Molecule: long non-coding RNA, 7934 nt
Organism: Brassica rapa (field mustard)
Lineage: Eukaryota; Viridiplantae; Streptophyta; Magnoliopsida; Brassicales; Brassicaceae
Source: RefSeq, a predicted model, not a curated record